AGAUGUGAGGGUGAUCUUGCUGCGAUAUCUGUCACCCCAUUGAUCACUAGGGUUGAUUCAGCUGAUCUGGCUGGCUACGCAGGUGUCCCCUUCCUCCCUCAAUGUUCCAUGUGCAUUGCUCUUGCAGCUGCGAGCUCGGUCAAAGAAGACAACCACCCCCAAUAGAGGAACAGUGUUUCUCAGUCAAGAGUGUACAAGUAGCUGCGCUCCCCUGCUAGAACCUCAAACAAGCUCUCAAAUUUACUAGUUCCCAGUAUAAAAUAGUCACUAUUUUAAAUAUUCAAAUAUAUAAUUAUUAUAGUCUUU
Molecule: small nuclear RNA, 306 nt
Filed under: Octodon degus (degu)
Lineage: Eukaryota; Metazoa; Chordata; Mammalia; Rodentia; Octodontidae
Description: 7SK RNA (ENSODEG00000024064.1)
Rfam family: 7SK RNA
About the family: 7SK was discovered as an abundant small nuclear RNA in the mid-70s but a possible function has only recently been suggested. Two independent studies have found that 7SK RNA binds the CDK9/cyclin T complex (known as elongation factor P-TEFb).
Source: Rfam by way of RNAcentral